ACUGGAAAUUCUGUCAUUUAAUACAUGUUGCCUUUUCUUUUGCCAAAUAGAUGACCUAUUACAGACUAUUCAGAGUACAUCGGGAUUAGCUGUUAUUCUUUUUAUUAAGACAAUGUUUCAUCUAUCUGAAAAGACUCCUGAAUUGAUUAGCAGUUUGCUUCUCCAUUCAGUAGACUGUACCAGCAUCCCUGAGU
Molecule: long non-coding RNA, 194 nt
Filed under: Ictidomys tridecemlineatus (thirteen-lined ground squirrel)
Lineage: Eukaryota; Metazoa; Chordata; Mammalia; Rodentia; Sciuridae
Description: lncRNA (ENSSTOG00000033432.1)
Source: RNAcentral